UUUUUUUUGGAGCUGGGGACCGAACCCAGGGCCUUGCGGUUGCUAGGCAAGCGCUCUACCACUGAGCUAAAUCCCCAACCCCCAAUAAAAAUCCUCUUAAAAGGCUCCUGUGGUUUUGUUUUCCUAUUCAACACCUCUAGCACACAAAAUAUGAUUGUGAUGUGCAAUGAUUAAACCAGAGGACACAACAAAUAACAAUGUCACGUUCAAAUGCCAACCUUUUAUAAAAACUCACUGUCAAAAUUUUCUUGUAACUUACAAAGCAUCGUAAGACUUCCUCACUCCCAACUGACUAGGCACAUUUUAUAUUUUCUAUGUUUUAUAUUUAUAUUUUUUAUAUUGUGGAGUAAGACCACAACUGCAUCAGAGCUGAGAGCGUUGGGCUUGAGAAACUCAUUUUUAUUCCUGACUGACUGCAGGCUAACAUUUGUUGCCUUUUUUAGCAGACUUUUUCUGUGCUAAGGCUGACUCAGGCUACUGCACACGCUGUGCCCACACUCUGCUGCCAAGCUUCAUCCUGCACCCCUGCGCACGCAGUCAGAGAGCAGUCAGUGGAGCUGUCUGAUCAGUCUCUUUCCCAUCCCAACAGGAGGGACUGCUUUGACGCCUACAAAACGUCAGAUUUUAAUAAUGAAUUGUUUGACAUGAGAAAAGUUCUUUGGGGGCUUUAAAUGGUCUGUUUUGGUUUUUUUGUUUUUGUUUGUUUGUUU
Molecule: long non-coding RNA, 710 nt
Filed under: Rattus norvegicus (Norway rat)
Lineage: Eukaryota; Metazoa; Chordata; Mammalia; Rodentia; Muridae
Description: long non-coding RNA NONRATT015840
Source: RNAcentral